Haliotis rufescens (red abalone) is the source of this 1103-nucleotide long non-coding RNA. RefSeq lists it as uncharacterized. The transcript is spliced from 2 exons. The record is from RefSeq and is a predicted model, not a curated record. Lineage: Eukaryota; Metazoa; Mollusca; Gastropoda; Lepetellida; Haliotidae.
ACGAGCGAACGCUUUAACCACUAGGCUACCCGACUGCCCCUCUUAAUGGUAAGACCUCAACAAAACAGAGGCACUGCUUAUCGUAUUUUUCCAUUUAAAAUAGUAUAUUUUGAAACUGUAACCUUUUUCAAUUUUUUAAAAAUUCCUGACUGAAAACAUAUCUUUGCUUACAAAGUGACAUACUCCUAUUGAAAUAUAGAAACCAAAGUUGUUAUUUGAUUUCCUUUCAAUUGCUUGCUUUGUUUCCUUGUGUAAUAUGACACGCAAAUAUUUGCACCCACCUGGUGGAACAUGAUGUUCUAGUAUUACCUGGCCAGGAGAUAUCUGUCAUAUCAUUUAUCAGAACAGAUCAGUGUCACAUGUUGAUAUGUCCAAAACAUACGUGGAAUUUCAGGAUAUAUAAACAAAAGGGCGGUGCUGAACUUUUUCCCAGGUGUAUAAAUGACCUAUUUCUUACAGGUGCUUCAGAUGGGCGAGGCACUCGUUUUGCAUAAUGAACGAUGUAAAGGUGUACAAUAUUUGCAUAUGUCCAAUUUUGACAAAAGAAUUUUAGAAAAGUCAAACUUGCCUGUUGCAUCGCUAGCUUUCAGUAGUUGGACGGAAGAAGCAUGCAUAUUACUCCUAGCAACUACGUAAUUUUACUUACUUUCUAACUUAAAUACACAGUAAGCACCUUCAAAUUUCUGACAAAUUAUUAUUUGGCAGUAAAAUUUGUAAAAUGUCACAUAAAAAAAAAAAUCAUAACACAUUUUCCCACACAUAAAAUAAUAUCAUCGGUAAAAAACGUUUUAUCACAAAUCCAUAUGUCUUUCAAACAAAUAUCUAUAAUCGAAACAAUCUUUUCAAAAUUUCAUUUCAAACAUUUCACAUUUGAAUAAAGUUUGAAUCAAAAAGAAAGGUUUUGUUAAAAGUUGAUAUAUUAUAUGUGAUAUUCUUAAAGGGGCGAUGUAUGGGAAAUAAUUGACCUGGACUGGUUACACACAUAUAUAACACAUCCGAGCACUAUAGAUCUGAACAACAAUCUCACAGACACAGCUCAUUCUCCCACUAUGUACAGCCACUGUUACUGAUUUCACUCAUUUGAAUAAACAAGUUCAGUAAAA